Molecule: long non-coding RNA, 390 nt
Organism: Clupea harengus (Atlantic herring)
Lineage: Eukaryota; Metazoa; Chordata; Actinopteri; Clupeiformes; Clupeidae
Source: Ensembl
AAGAAUUCGCUAUGCAAGGUGUUCAACCGUUGGGCAAAGAAACCGAAGCGGUUGGUGUGCUAGAAUCUAGCAUGCACUCCUUGAGCAUUGCUGAAGAGCAGCAGCAUGACUCUCUGGAUGAGGAGGAGGCGAAUUAUAUGAGGAAUAGCAUGUAAGUCUUGCACAUGAAACCAUCUUAGUUCGUGUUCUUUUGUGCUUCAAGUUUAUGGUGUUGUGGGUGUGUGUGUUUUGUAAAUCAUUUUUAUUUACAGUAUUGACAUGGAUGAUUGCUGGGAGGAUCCUAAUCAGAAGGGCUUGGAAGAAGAUCGGGACAGCUCUGAUGAAGACUAUAGUCCUUUUCUUCAUCUACGUGCCCCAGCUAUGACUGCCAACAUCAACCAACUCCUGGAG